UGCGUAGGUGGCGAUUUAAGUUGGAUGUGAAAUACCCGGGCUUAACCUGGGGGGUGCAUCCAAAACUGGAUGGCUAGAGUGCAGGAGAGGGAAGCGGAAUUCCUAGUGUAGCGGUGAAAUGCGUAGAUAUUAGGAGGAACACCAGUGGCGAAGGCGGCUUUCUGGACUGUAACUGACACUGAGGCACGAAAGCGUGGGGAGCAAACAGGAUUAGAUACCCUGGUAGUCCACGCUGUAAACGAUGAAUACUAGGUGUAGGGGGUAUGAACUCCCCCUGUGCCGGAGCUAACGCAAUAAGUAUUCCGCCUGGGGAGUACGGCCGCAAGGUUGAA
RNAcentral lists this ribosomal RNA (332 nucleotides) under uncultured bacterium. RNAcentral's name for it is "bacterial SSU rRNA". It matches the Rfam family "Bacterial small subunit ribosomal RNA", at positions 568 to 898 of the family's 1533-position model. The record is from RNAcentral.